UGAGGAAUAUUGCGCAAUGGGCGAAAGCCUGACGCAGCGACGCCGCGUGAAGGAUGAAGGUCUUCGGAUUGUAAACUUCUGUUAAACGGGAAGAAAGACCCACUAGUAAUAUGAGUGGGGGAUGACGGUACCGUUAGAGAAAGCACCGGCUAACCUCGUGCCAGCAGCCGCGGUAAUACGAGGGGUGCAAGCGUUAUUCGGAAUGACUGGGCGUAAAGGGUGUGUAGACGGUAUGUUAAGUCUAUUGUUAAAUUCUUCGGCCUAACCGAGGACCUGCGAUAGAAACUGGCAAACUAGAGGGUGGAAGAGAGAAGUGGAAUUCUCGGAGUAGCGGUAAAAUGCGUAGAUCUCGAGAGGAACACCAAUGGCGAAGGCAGCUUCUUGGUCCAUACCUGACGUU
Molecule: ribosomal RNA, 400 nt
Filed under: uncultured bacterium
Lineage: Bacteria
Description: bacterial SSU rRNA
Rfam family: Bacterial small subunit ribosomal RNA
Source: RNAcentral